CUAAAACUUAUCUAGAUCUUGUAUGUUCUCCGCACGAUGAACAAAAAUAAUUAUACUAUUCAUUUUUUAUGGUCGAACUUCUUCUGUUUAGGUAGGAUUCAACCUCAUUAAUGAUUACCUGCAAAUGGUGAAUGGCACGAGCAAAUGACUGCGCAAAUCUCGAAGCAGCCUCGGAUGUUUUAUAAGAGAAACCAGUUGAGAGCUCAGCAAAUUGCAGAUGACAAGGAAGAGGUUUUGAUACCUUGUUGGCGUUGGGGACCAGCUCCUGCAGAGCUUUCAUCCUCUCUGCUAUUCUCUCCCUGCGCAGCUGUGAAUAGGAACAAGGAAUAACACACAAGAGAAAAGGACUCAGGACAAACAAACAAAUGCAAGCACAGCAGUAGGUGCGGACUGUGUGGCGUGGCACAAAAAGUUGGGAAAGGAAAACUGCAACGAGAAAGAAAUAGUAAACGGGGGGAAGCAUUUAUUUUAGCUGCCUGCUCUCAUUUCCAACCACUCGCUUUCGAAAUUUAAUUGAAAGCAACGAUUUUCUAUUGUGUUUUUGAUGUACUUUCAUACCCUCUCGGCUAUACUGUGGGGAUCUGUGGCCUGGCCCCGUCGAGCUCGCACCUUCUGCCUCGGCGGCCCCGUGCCGCCACCGCCGGCGGAGGCCGAGGCUGAGACUGCCGCAGCAGGGGCUUGGGUUAGUCCAGGCGCCAGUGGCGCUGCUCCAAAGUUCUGGCCAAGCAUAGGCGCGCCCUGCUUUUGGUUUGGACUUUGAUAAGUACAAAUGCUCAGAAAAGGGGGGAAAAUAAGUGGGUUUGUUUAGAACUUCGAUUUUUUUUUGUUUUUGUAAAACCUGGGGAUGAGGAAAAGUGUGUUGAUUAGCCGACUCAGUGUGUUGAAGAGCUCCGCUGAAUCCAUUGUACCGCCCAUCGCCCACCUUUCAUCCCGAUCGAGUAUUCACAGCAAAGUUAGGUUUUCCUUUUUCUAAAAAUGGAUUGCUAAAACCAAAGAAGAAGAAGAAGAAGAAGAAGAAGAAGAAGAAACCGGGAGUUAGAACGACUAACAGUGGAAUUAGGGGAAUCAACAGAGCCGCAGCCCCCAAGCGUCAGAGGCAAAGGGAGGAAUCCAGAGUCGCCGGAUGUGGCUAGCAUCUGCUGCUGACCAUGAUGACUGAGCGGGAGCAUCAUUGCUUUCCCCACCGGCGAGCUCCCGCCGCUGAUCUGGUACUGGCGGAGCCUGUUAGCAAGGAGAGCGGACUCAUCAAAUGGAGCGUACGGCAAGCCAUCCUCCGCCUCUUUUCCGACUCCGAAGAUCCUCUGCGCGGCGGUGGGGCCUUCCGAGUCCGGUGCGUCCCAGGGAGCCUUAGUAGCUCCGAGCUCGGCCCAAGGGGAGCGAAGGCCGGAGAGCAUCUGGUCAAGGAAGUCAUCGUGUCCGACGGAGCCUCCGUGAUCGAAUGGAGUUUGCGAACCAUGGCCGUUCUGCAGUUCCGGAAGCGCGAUCUGGUCGGAGGAGGCGGCGAUCCCAUUGAGCGACGCCGCGGUUUUGCCUUGCACUUGCAUAUCUCUCGCGCUUGGCUGCAUCGAUCCUCAAAUCCACGCCGAGAUUCU
Long non-coding RNA from Zingiber officinale, 1592 nucleotides. RefSeq lists it as uncharacterized. The record is from RefSeq and is a predicted model, not a curated record. Lineage: Eukaryota; Viridiplantae; Streptophyta; Magnoliopsida; Zingiberales; Zingiberaceae. The transcript has 2 exons.